GGAGUUAGCCGGUGCUUCUUCUGUGAGUGAUGUCCUUCCUGCCGGCUAUUAACCCGCAGGCCUUCUUCCUCACUGAAAGUGCUUUACAACCCGAAGGCCUUCUUCACACACGCGGCAUGGCUGGAUCAGGGUUGCCCCCAUUGUCCAAUAUUCCCCACUGCUGCCUCCCGUAGGAGUCUGGGCCGUGUCUCAGUCCCAGUGUGGCUGAUCAUCCUCUCAGACCAGCUACGGAUCGUCGCCUUGGUGAGCCGUUACCUCACCAACCAGCUAAUCCGACAUAGGCUCAUCCGAUAGCGCGAGGCCCGAAGGUCCCCCGCUUUCCCCCGUAGGGCCGUAUGCGGUAUUAGCCUGGGUUUCCCCAGGUUAUCCCCCACUACCGGGCAGAUUCCUAUGCAUUACUCACCCGUCCGCCGCUCGCCACCAGGGAGCAAGCUCCCCGUGCUGCCGCUCGACUUGCAUGUGUUAGGCCUGCCGCCAGCGUUCAAUCUGAACCAAGAUCAAAUUCUGA
RNAcentral lists this ribosomal RNA (508 nucleotides) under uncultured bacterium. RNAcentral's name for it is "partial 16S ribosomal RNA". The record is from RNAcentral.